UGAGAGCGGAAAGCGGAUCUUAAGAUUAUCACGAUUUCAUCAGCAAUAAAAGCAGCACUCGCUUUUCAGCAGAGCGUUAUUACAGUUACAUCAAUCGAAUAGUUCCUCAUAGAAGUACAACAUGAAACAGAAAGAAGACCAAAUGAUUAACUACAAAGAUCCUGACACCGAUCCGGUUAAAAGCGGAGAUAGAUCAGGAUCAUCCGGCUCGUGGUGUACUAUUAUGUAGAUGUAGGAGAAAUAGUUGAAGUUUCAGUAACCUCUUUGUCAACGUCAAAUGAGCCAUGGUGGAAGAAAUGGUGUCUUCUUUUGUAAAAAGAUAAAGCCAAGUGUCGUAAAGUAAACUAGAAGAUGACUGUUGUAAUGUACUGAUCACACCCAAGGAUACCUUACUAUUCAUUUACCCACAAAGUGUAGCUGAUGAACUUUAGAAGAUUGAUCUCUUUUUGCACACAAAAAACAAGAAAACAAGCCUGAAGAGGACGACUUAAGGACAGCUCUAGAAACCACGACAAACACUAACUAUGAACCAGCGAAUAGAAGAUAUCAGAACCAUGAUUUAGAUCUCUAAAUUUGAUUGAAAUUGAACUUGUUUGUGUGGUUUUUUUCUUUUUUCUUUCUAUUUUUUUUUAAAGUUAAUUUUAAUUUAAUUUAAUUUUUUUUAUACCUUAGAAUUAUUAUGUUUUUAGAAUGUGUUUUAAUUUUGAAAAUAAUGCAAAGCAAAAAAGAAGUUCAUAAGCAAGCUAAUAAGUGAGUAGUGCUGGUGAAAGUAGUAUAGACUUGUAAUCUAACCUUUGUAUGUACGUAAAUAAAUGGCUUUGUCACAAUC
This is a long non-coding RNA of Actinia tenebrosa (Australian red waratah sea anemone), 829 nucleotides long. RefSeq lists it as uncharacterized. The record is from RefSeq and is a predicted model, not a curated record. Lineage: Eukaryota; Metazoa; Cnidaria; Anthozoa; Actiniaria; Actiniidae.